CACCAGCAUCAGGAGCGACCCAUUAGGGUCCGGCAACCUAGCAACGGAGAUAGCUAAGGUGCCUUGAGAGUGAACAAUCAUUCUCGAUGUGCGGGUUCCAGUUGAGCCCGAAACAGAAACUCCGACGG
RNAcentral lists this non-coding RNA (128 nucleotides) under unclassified sequences. Its description in RNAcentral is "SAM-I-IV sequence". It matches the Rfam family "SAM-I/IV (S-adenosyl methionine) riboswitch aptamer". Rfam says of the family: It is found upstream of a number of genes which code for proteins involved in methionine or cysteine biosynthesis. It has been found mostly in the order Actinomycetales. The record is from Rfam by way of RNAcentral.